This 577-nucleotide ribosomal RNA is filed under the name uncultured bacterium. Its description in RNAcentral is "bacterial SSU rRNA". It matches the Rfam family "Bacterial small subunit ribosomal RNA", at positions 102 to 674 of the family's 1533-position model. The record is from RNAcentral.
ACGGGUGAGUAAUACGUAGGAAUCUGCCCUUAAGUGGGGGAUAACCCGGGGAAACUCGGGCUAAUACCGCAUAAUCUCUUCGGAGCAAAGCAGGGGACCGCAAGGCCUUGCGCUUUAGGAUGAGCCUACGUCGGAUUAGCUAGUUGGUAGGGUAAAGGCCUACCAAGGCGACAAUCCGUAGCUGGUCUGAGAGGACGAUCAGCCACACUGGGACUGAGAUACGGCCCAGACUCCUACGGGAGGCAGCAGUGGGGAAUAUUGGACAAUGGGGGAAACCCUGAUCCAGCAAUGCCGCGUGUGCGAUGAAGGCCUGCGGGUUGUAAAGCACUUUCGGUGGGGAAGAAAUGUUCAAAGGUAAUAUCUUUGAAAGCUGACAUUACCCACAGAAGAAGCACCGGCAAACUCUGUGCCAGCAGCCGCGGUAAUACAGAGGGUGCAAGCGUUAAUCGGAGUUACUGGGCGUAAAGGGCGCGUAGGCGGGUAUUUAAGUCGGUUGUGAAAACCCUGGGCUUAACCUAGGAAUUGCAAUCGAUACUGGAUAUUCUUGAGUAUGGUAGAGGAAAGUGGAAUUCUCGGU